Long non-coding RNA from Canis lupus familiaris (dog), 1071 nucleotides. RefSeq lists it as uncharacterized. NCBI's taxonomy places the organism in Eukaryota, Metazoa, Chordata, Mammalia, Carnivora, Canidae. The transcript is spliced from 3 exons. The record is from RefSeq and is a predicted model, not a curated record.
CAGGGAGGGUCCUGGCCGACCUGAGGGUCACUGAUCAUUUCAGCCGGGCUGGCAGGGAGCCAGGCCCUGGGCUGGGGUCAGAAGGAUUGGGUUUGAGUUCUAGAUCUGUUUCUUUACUAGCCGGUGAAUCCUGCUUCAGUUACUUGCUGGUUGUGUGGUCUUGGGCAAGUCACUCACAUAUUUUUUCUUUUCUUUUAAAGGUUUUAUUUAUUUAUUCAUGAAGGACACCCCAGAGAGGCAGAGACACAGGCAGAGGGAGAAGCAGGCCCCCUGCGGGGACCCCGACGUGGGACUCGAUUCCAGGACCCGGAUCUCGCCCUGAGCAGAAGGCAGAUGCUCAACUACUGAGCCACCAGACGUCCCUCUGAACAUAUUUUUCUCAUCACUAAAUGUCGAUAAUAAGAAUACCAAUAUCAUGUGGUUUAGGGAGCAUUAAAGGAGGGAAUAAUGUCUAUUAUUUCAUCCAAUCCUCACCUGUUCCACUUCAUUUGUUUGUGGUCCCUUGGAGAUACCAUCCAGACUUGGAUGUGCAAGAAUUUAUGCAGAACGCACUCAUCCUGGGCUUCAACCAUGCUUUGGCAUAGGAUGUCUCAAUUUCCUAGGAAGACAGCUUGUUUCCUUGGUUAGAACCUGGGACACAUCCUGAGCCAAAUAACUUUGGAUGGGGUGGCGUGCCAUCUGAGAGGAGCAUGGAGAAAGGAAGAUGAGAAAGGCAGAGUAUUUCAUUGGAAGAAGCUCAGUCCACAGCAAGAGCAUCGGAAGAAUGAUGGGGUGGGAGGGAGAAUGGUUUUGGAUCAAUCACAUCCAAAACAAUCCUCUGAAGACAAGUUCCUGUGUUAAUCCAAUACCAUUAUUUCUUCCUCUGGUGGGAGUGGGGGUGGGGAUGGGAAUGAGGAAUUGGAACAAAUAAUAGUGGUUAAUACUCACUGAGAUAUUAACAUGUGCCAUGUAUGUGUUAUGUGCUUUGCAUAAAUUGUGUCAUUGAAUCUUUGCAGCUUCCUUAUGAGAAAGCUACUAUUAUAAGCAUCUUUAUUUUAAAGAUGAGGAAACGGCGGCACAGAGAUUAUAUCA